Molecule: ribosomal RNA, 858 nt
Filed under: uncultured bacterium
Lineage: Bacteria
Description: bacterial SSU rRNA
Rfam family: Bacterial small subunit ribosomal RNA
Source: RNAcentral
AGAGUUUGAUCCUGGCUCAGGACGAACGCUGGCGGCGUGCCUAAUACAUGCAAGUCGUGCGGACUUAUCUUCGGAUAAGUUAGCGGCGGACGGGUGAGUAACACGUGGGCAACCUGCCUGUAAGACUGGGAUAACUCCGGGAAACCGGUGCUAAUACCAGAUACAAUCAAAGACUGCCUGGUCUUUGAUGGAAAGGUCUUGUACCGCUUACAGAUGGGCCCGCGGCGCAUUAGCUAGUUGGUGGGGUAAUGGCCUACCAAGGCGACGAUGCGUAGCCGACCUGAGAGGGUGAUCGGCCACACUGGGACUGAGACACGGCCCAGACUCCUACGGGAGGCAGCAGUAGGGAAUCUUCCGCAAUGGACGAAAGUCUGACGGAGCAACGCCGCGUGAGUGAUGAAGGCUUUCGGGUCGUAAAACUCUGUUGUCAGGGAAGAACAUCCGGGAUAACCUCCCGGUCUGACGGUACCUGAUCAGAAAGCCCCGGCUAACUACGUGCCAGCAGCCGCGGUAAUACGUAGGGGGCAAGCGUUGUCCGGAAUUAUUGGGCGUAAAGCGCGCGCAGGCGGUUUCUUAAGUCUGGUGUGAAAGCCCGCAGCUCAACUGCGGAGGGCCACUGGAAACUGGGAAGCUUGAGUGUAGGAGAGGAGAGCGGAAUUCCACGUGUAGCGGUGAAAUGCGUAGAUAUGUGGAGGAACACCCGUGGCGAAAGCGGCUCUCUGGCCUAAAACUGACGCUGAGGCGCGAAAGCGUGGGGAGCGAACAGGAUUAGAUACCCUGGUGGUCCACGCCGUAAACGAUGAGUGCUAGGUGUUGGGGACUCCAAUCCUCAGUGCCGCAGCUAACGCAAUAAGCACU